Armigeres subalbatus is the source of this 897-nucleotide long non-coding RNA. RefSeq lists it as uncharacterized. NCBI's taxonomy places the organism in Eukaryota, Metazoa, Arthropoda, Insecta, Diptera, Culicidae. The transcript has 2 exons. The record is from RefSeq and is a predicted model, not a curated record.
CAAAAAACAAACAUAGUUUCACAGAAGGUUUUACACUUUUUCUUUGAAAAGUGAUUCGUUUUCUUGAAAAUAAAAGUAAAAAUAGUCUUAGUCAAAUUAUUUUUUCAUUUCCAAAGUUUUUUCCUGCUAUCUCCAGAAGUAAAAUUGAAAGUUCUUCCGUUCAAUUUCAAAACUGUAGAACUGUCAAAACAUUAAAUGAUAAACCUUGGUGAAAAGCAGAACAAAAAUUAACCAUCCUUCAGUCAUGUUCACCAUGGAAUAUCAGAUGGUAUAAAUUUAAUAAAAUCUAUUAUAUAUUUUUCUGAAUAUGAACUAUAAAACUUUAUUUAUCAUGAACCAAACUUCAGAAUUAUCACAUAUACGUGAUUAAACAACGCUAACAUACAAAAUUAACAGCCUAUAAAUAUUUAUCUUAUCUCGAAUUACUUAUGUGAAUUUUGUCCAUUCAUUUAUCGAAAUAACUCAUAGUGCUUCAAAUGUUAAGCUCUCAACUCUCUCGACUCUCUUUUCGUCAUUUUCCGCUCAGCAUACAAAAGCGACAACUGUCAUUUUUUUGUUCCGUAUUUGUUCGGUGGUGCCUCGGAAUUACAUUUUUCCAGAUUUUGCCGUGACGUUCCUGCGUUUAUGCAGACAGCAAUAUGGAACCGGAAGAUAAAUUGUCCGUUUGGGCACUUCCCGACGAGCCCCGAGCAACCCCCAUGACUGGCAGGAAAAAUAUGGCGCAAUGUCUAUAGCUCAUCUAGAUGGCUGCGCAUCACAAUUCAUUGGCUGGUUAUCGUCAAUAUUUUAAAAUCCUGUUGCUGAUCUAAACGGUGCUGAUAAUUACAUCCUUUGUAUUUAUGAUCUGACCCCGAUUGAAUAAAACACCCAUGUGAAGUUUAAAAUAAACAAACAAAA